This 1429-nucleotide long non-coding RNA is filed under the name Homo sapiens (human). Its description in RNAcentral is "HSALNT0295402". Lineage: Eukaryota; Metazoa; Chordata; Mammalia; Primates; Hominidae. The record is from RNAcentral.
CCGCUGCCAUCUUCGGAUGCUGUGUCCCGCACGGAGGGUCCACCAGGGCAGGGAUAGUGGUGAGGGUCGCUCGUGGAUCCCCUCGCGGGGAGCAGGGUCUGGCACACACCAGGGCGCAGGAUUAGGACUUGUUGAAUGAAUCCAUCAUGGCCUUUAUCUUUUAGUCCUCUGAAGAGCGUUGAGAAUGGAAAUCAUAAGAUAUUUUUUCCAUUAGGAAGUUCUUUUUACAAGGCGUUUAUUCAGGUUGACUUCUCGGCACCCCGCGGGGCGGGCAACGGGCAGGGCCUCCAGUGCACCUUCUGCGCAGUGGAGCCGCGGGGGCUCAGCUGGGCGGUGGUCGGGUCGUGAGGCGGGAGGGCGGGAGCGGGGGAAGGGAAAAGCAAAAGCGGGGAAAGAAGCCGGGGAGCGGUGGACCAGACAUUCAGACCUCCUGAAAGGCUCGUGCGGAGGCAGAGGCGGGAUCUUCCGGAGUGUGGAAGAUGAUCAAAGUAUGACAUUUCUUCUACCCCAGAGGCUGGCAUUUCUGCAGGCACAAAUGAGCUUGGUUUUCAAGCACUGCUCUUUGAACACAAGGAAUUCCUUUAAUGAUCACGCCGGACUAUAUAGACUUUGGAAUCAGACUCUUUGAAUUCCAGCUCUGCCAUUUACCAACUUUGACACUUUGGACAACGUCUCAUUCUGUCACCCAGGCUGGAGUGCAAUGGCACAAUUAUAGCUCACUGCAGCCUCAAACACCUGGGCUCAAGCAAUCCUUCCACCUCUGCCUCCUGAGUAAUUGGGACUACAGGCAUGUGCCACCACACCCAGCUAAUUUUUAAUUUUUAAUUUUUUUGUAGAGAUGGCGGUCUUGCUAUGUCACCCAGGCUGGUCUUGAACACCUGGCCUCAAGUGAUCCUCCGGCCUUGGUCUCUCAAAGCUCUGGGAUUACAGACAUGAGCCACUGCACCCGGCUCUAUCUCCCCUUCCUAUGUGUGUUAGCUCUAGAACAAGAGAAGCCUUGUUGAGAUUCCUGGCUGCCCACCCCCCAUCACCUCUCUGACUUUGGGCAAGUUGCCUGGCCUCUCUCAGCCUUUAUUUUCUUUUUGUGAAAUGGGGAUAAUAAUAGUACUUGCCUCAUAGGCAAAAUGUUGUGAGAACUAAACGAGAAAAUGCAUGUAAAGCACUUGGCACUUAGUUCUUUUUAUGAUUAUAAUGAUAAUCAGACACAAUAAAUUAUGUCUCACAUCACAUGCUGUUUAGCCUAUUCACUGUUCUAUUUUUCCUGAAGUCAGUUCAGUGUGUAGCAUCCAGAAUUGAACAAAACACCCCCGAUGUGACCUGAUAGUGCAAAGUAAACUAUCAUCUCCUUCAUUCUAGGUAUUAUGUUUCUAUUAAUGCAGUCUAAAGGUAGGAUAUGAGUUGUUUUGUUUAUGUAUCUUUUUUUUUUUUU